AAGGAGAAUCGGCUCUACCUGUCUUUCCUACGAACAGCGCUCAGGAACCAUAAAUCAGAAAGAGGAGCGAGCAUUCCAUCAAAGAAGAAUCUUUCUGACUCUCCUAGAAUGGAUCAACAAUGAGACUCUUAUAUCAAAGAGCGAACCGCAGCCGCUAAAGAUGGUGCUCGUUUGUGGAAGGCCCAUGCAUGAAGUCAGGUUGCCCGAGAAGGAGAAGCAAGCGCAUGAAGUCAGGUUGCCCGAGAAGGAGAAGCAAGCACUUUGUUCGGAAACUCCAAUAAAAAGAAAGAAGACCCGAAGGCCUCUGACUCUGACUACCCAACAUCCACAUCACUACUUACGAAAUGAUUCCAUCACGUCCGGG
Molecule: long non-coding RNA, 364 nt
Filed under: Musa acuminata (dwarf banana)
Lineage: Eukaryota; Viridiplantae; Streptophyta; Magnoliopsida; Zingiberales; Musaceae
Description: long non-coding RNA (MACU_LNC008074)
Source: RNAcentral